UGCUAAUACAUGCAAGUCGAGCGGACAGAUGGGAGCUUGCUCCCUGAUGUUAGCGGCGGACGGGUGAGUAACACGUGGGUAACCUGCCUGUAAGACUGGGAUAACUCCGGGAAACCGGGGCUAAUACCGGAUGCUUGUUUGAACCGCAUGGUUCAAACAUAAAAGGUGGCUUCGGCUACCACUUACAGAUGGACCCGCGGCGCAUUAGCUAGUUGGUGAGGUAAUGGCUCACCAAGGCGACGAUGCGUAGCCGACCUGAGAGGGUGAUCGGCCACACUGGGACUGAGACACGGCCCAGACUCCUACGGGAGGCAGCAGUAGGGAAUCUUCCGCAAUGGACGAAAGUCUGACGGAGCAACGCCGCGUGAGUGAUGAAGGUUUUCGGAUCGUAAAGCUCUGUUGUUAGGGAAGAACAAGUACCGUUCGAAUAGGGCGGUACCUUGACGGUACCUAACCAGAAAGCCACGGCUAACUACGUGCCAGCAGCCGCGGUAAUACGUAGGUGGCAAGCGUUGUCCGGAAUUAUUGGGCGUAAAGGGCUCGCAGGCGGUUUCUUAAGUCUGAUGUGAAAGCCCCCGGCUCAACCGGGGAGGGUCAUUGGAAACUGGGGAACUUGAGUGCAGAAGAGGAGAGUGGAAUUCCACGUGUAGCGGUGAAAUGCGUAGAGAUGU
Molecule: ribosomal RNA, 671 nt
Filed under: Bacillus stercoris
Lineage: Bacteria; Bacillati; Bacillota; Bacilli; Caryophanales; Bacillaceae
Description: bacterial SSU rRNA
Rfam family: Bacterial small subunit ribosomal RNA
Source: RNAcentral